GGCAUGCUUCUAGAGAUGGACCAGACUGAGGUUUUGCACUUGCUGGAGUCUCCAGAAGCCCUGAAAGCCAAAGUUGCUGAGGCCAUUGAAGUGCUUAGAAGCGUUCAGCAGCAGCAGGUUAAUAGUCCAACUAAUCGAAUGGCCUCGCUGUCCCUAAAUGACAACCUUGUUUCUUAAGCCUCGCUGUUGCUAUUUUUAGAAUAAUUGCUGAAACUUUUUUUUUUUU
This 226-nucleotide unclassified non-coding RNA is filed under the name Hevea brasiliensis (rubber tree). The record is from RNAcentral. Lineage: Eukaryota; Viridiplantae; Streptophyta; Magnoliopsida; Malpighiales; Euphorbiaceae.